UCUCUCUUGAGUGGAUCCUGAGUACGACGGAGCACGUGAAAUUCCGUCGGAAUCUGGGAGGACCAUCUCCUAAGGCUAAAUACUCUCUAGUGACCGAUAGUGAACCAGUACCGUGAGGGAAAGGUGAAAAGUACCCCGGAAGGGGAGUGAAAGAGAACUUGAAACCGUGUGCUUACAAGUAGUCAGAGCCCGUUAAUGGGUGAUGGCGUGCCUUUUGUAGAAUGAACCGGCGAGUUACGAUCUGAUGCAAGGUUAAGCAGCAAAUGUGGAGCCGCAGCGAAAGCGAGUCUGAAUAGGGCGUUGAGUAUUUGGUCGUAGACCCGAAACCAGGUGAUCUACCCUUGGUCAGGUUGAAGUUCAGGUAACACUGAAUGGAGGACCGAACCGACUUACGUUGAAAAGUGAGCGGAUGAACUGAGGGUAGCGGAGAAAUUCCAAUCGAACUUGGAGAUAGCUGGUUCUCUCCGAAAUAGCUUUAGGGCUAGCCUCAAGUGAUGAUUAUUGGAGGUAGAGCACUGUUUGGACGAGGGGCCCCUCUCGGGUUACCGAAUUCAGACAAACUCCGAAUGCCAAUUAAUUUAACUUGGGAGUCAGAACAUGGGUGAUAAGGUCCGUGUUCGAAAGGGAAACAGCCCAGACCACCAGCUAAGGUCCCAAAAUAUAUGUUAAGUGGAAAAGGAUGUGGCGUUGCCCAGACAACUAGGAUGUUGGCUUAGAAGCAGCCAUCAUUUAAAGAGUGCGUAAUAGCUCACUAGUCGAGUGACACUGCGCCGAAAAUGUACCGGGGCUAAACAUAUUACCGAAGCUGUGGAUUGUCCUUUGGACAAUGGUAGGAGAGCGUUCUAAGGGCGUUGAAGCAUGAUCGUAAGGACAUGUGGAGCGCUUAGAAGUGAGAAUGCCGGUGUGAGUAGCGAAAGACGGGUGAGAAUCCCGUCCACCGAUUGACUAAGGUUUCCAGAGGAAGGCUCGUCCGCUCUGGGUUAGUCGGGUCCUAAGCUGAGGCCGACAGGCGUAGGCGAUGGAUAACAGGUUGAUAUUCCUGUACCACCUA
RNAcentral lists this ribosomal RNA (1051 nucleotides) under Parahaemophilus parainfluenzae. RNAcentral describes it as "Haemophilus parainfluenzae partial 23S ribosomal RNA". It matches the Rfam family "Bacterial large subunit ribosomal RNA", at positions 391 to 1450 of the family's 2925-position model. The record is from RNAcentral. Lineage: Bacteria; Pseudomonadati; Pseudomonadota; Gammaproteobacteria; Pasteurellales; Pasteurellaceae.